AGCAGUAGCCACGGUAACACGGAGGGUGCAAGCGUUAAUCGGAAUUACUGGGCGUAAAGCGCACGCAGGCGGUUUGUUAAGUCAGAUGUGAAAUCCCCGAGCUUAACUUGGGAACUGCAUUUGAAACUGGCAAGCUAGAGUCUUGUAGAGGGGGGUAGAAUUCCAGGUGUAGCGGUGAAAUGCGUAGAGAUCUGGAGGAAUACCGGUGGCGAAGGCGGCCCCCUGGGAUAACACUGACGCUCAUGCACGAAAGCGUGGGGAGCAAACAGGAUUAGAUACCCGUGUAGUCCCUGUCUCUUAUAA
Molecule: ribosomal RNA, 303 nt
Filed under: uncultured bacterium
Lineage: Bacteria
Description: partial 16S ribosomal RNA
Rfam family: Bacterial small subunit ribosomal RNA
Source: RNAcentral